This 446-nucleotide ribosomal RNA is filed under the name uncultured bacterium. RNAcentral describes it as "partial 16S ribosomal RNA". It matches the Rfam family "Bacterial small subunit ribosomal RNA", at positions 338 to 795 of the family's 1533-position model. The record is from RNAcentral.
CCUACGGGUGGCAGCAGUCGAGAAUCAUUCACAAUGGGGGAAACCCUGAUGGUGCGACGCCGCGUGGGGGAAUGCAGGUCUUCGGAUUGUAAACCCCUGUCAUGUGGGAGCAAAUUAACAAGAUAGUACCACAAGAGGUAGCGACGGCUAACUCUGUGCCAGCAGCCGCGGUAAUACCGAGGUCUCAAGAGUUGUUCGGAAUCACUGGGCGUAAGGCGUGCGUAGGCUGUUUCGUAAGUCGUGUGUGAAAGGCGCGGGCUCAACCCGCGGACGGCACAUGAUACUGCGAGACUAGAGUAAUGGGGAGGGAACCGGAAUUCGCGGUGUAGCAGUGAAAUGCGUAGAUAUCGAGAGGAACACUCGUGGCGAAGGCGGGUUCCUGGACAUUAACUGACGCUGAGGCACGAAGGCCAGGGGAGCGAAAGGGAUUAGAUACCCCAGUAGUC